Molecule: ribosomal RNA, 1120 nt
Filed under: Gluconacetobacter diazotrophicus
Lineage: Bacteria; Pseudomonadati; Pseudomonadota; Alphaproteobacteria; Acetobacterales; Acetobacteraceae
Description: bacterial SSU rRNA
Rfam family: Bacterial small subunit ribosomal RNA
Source: RNAcentral
AGCCUGUAAAUGCCGCGUGUGUGAAGAAGGUCUUCGGAUUGUAAAGCACUUUCGACGGGGACGAUGAACGGUACCCGUAGAAGAAGCCCCGGCUAACUUCGUGCCAGCAGCCGCGGUAAUACGAAGGGGGCUAGCGUUGCUCGGAAUGACUGGGCGUAAAGGGCGCGUAGGCGGUUUGGACAGUCAGAUGUGAAAUUCCUGGGCUUAACCUGGGGGCUGCAUUUGAUACGUAUAGACUAGAGUGUGAGAGAGGGUUGUGGAAUUCCCAGUGUAGAGGUGAAAUUCGUAGAUAUUGGGAAGAACACCGGUGGCGAAGGCGGCUACCUGGCUCAUAACUGACGCUGAGGCGCGAAAGCGUGGGGAGCAAACAGGAUUAGAUACCCUGGUAGUCCACGCUGUAAACGAUGUGUGCUGGAUGUUGGGUGGCUUAGUCCCUCAGUGUCGUAGUUAACGCGAUAAGCUCACCGCCUGGGGAGUACGGCCGCAAAGUUGAAACUCAAAGGAUUUGACGGGGGCCCGCACAAGCGGUGGAGCAUGUGGUUUAAUCUCGAAGCAACGCGCAGAAUCUUUCCGGGGCUUGACUUGGGGAGGCUGUCAGCCCGAGAUGGUUGUUGCCCGUCGGGGACCUCCUGCACGGGUGCUGCGUGGCUGUCGUCAGCUCGUGUCGUGCGAUGUGGGGUUAAGUCCCGCAACGAGCGCAACCCUCGCCUUUAGUUGCCAGCAUGAUUGGGUGGGCACUCUAAAGGAACUGCCGGUGACAAGCCGGAGGAAGGUGGGGAUGACGUCAAGUCCUCAUGGCCCUUAUGUCCUGGGCUACACACUGUGCUACAAGUGGCGGAGACAGUGGGAAGCCAGGCAGCGAUGCCGAGCUGAUCUCAAAAAGCCGUCUCAGUUCGGAUUGCACUCUGCAACUCGAGUGCAUGAAGGUGGAAUCGCUAGUAAUCGCGAAUCAGCAUGCCGCGGUGAAUACGUUCCCGGGCCUUGUACACACCGCCCGUCACACCAUGGGAGUUGGUUUGACCUUAAGCCGGUGAGCGAACCCAGCAAUGGGGCGCAGCCGAUCACGGUCGGGUCAGCGACUGGGGUGAAGUCGUAACAAGGUAACCGUAACAAGAAAAAA